Molecule: long non-coding RNA, 1489 nt
Organism: Camellia sinensis
Lineage: Eukaryota; Viridiplantae; Streptophyta; Magnoliopsida; Ericales; Theaceae
Source: RefSeq, a predicted model, not a curated record
AAUUCAUUUUUGUGCUUUACAUUUUUUUUCCUUUACAUUUGAAUCUCUCUUGGUAUAACUUUGUUGAAGUUUAAGGUAUUUUAAAGAUGAGUAACAGUGAUGAAGACCAAUGGAAUGAUGACCAUGAUGAUGAAGCUACUGACGAUGAAGGCAGCAAACCCAACAAAAUAAUAAUAUGCUCUUAGCUACGGCGGCUACAGUUGCAGCGACAUAUGUAACAAAUUAUUUGAUAAAAAAACCAUGUAGGACAUCUUGUUUAACAGGAGGGAUGUGGAUGGUAGAAUUACAAGAAGGGAAUCAGACAAGAAUAUUUAAAAAUUUUCGAAUGGAAAGAGAGGUAUUUUAUCAAUUGUGUAAUUUGUUACAAACAAAUUAUGGCCUUCAAACUGGACGACAAGUCUCGGUUCAAGAGCAAGUUGCAAUAUUUUUGUUUAUUGUUGGCGGUGACAUUCGAAACAGAAAUGUCCAAGAAAGAUUUCAACAUUCCGGUGAGACUAUUUCAAAAUAUUUCAAGAAGGUGUUAAAGGCUAUUAUAAUGAUGUCCAUUGAUUGGGUAAGACCUCAACCAACUAAUGGUGUGCAUCCAUAUAUCCGACGCAACCGCAAAUAUUAUCCUCAUUUCAAGGAUUGUAUUGGAGCAAUUGACGAAACAUACAUCAAAGCAUAUAUAUCUCCAGAUAAGCAAGCUUGUCUAAUAGGUAGAAAGGGAUAUGCGACUCAAAACAUAAUGGCCGCAUGUGACUUUGAUAUGUGUUUCACAUUUUGCUUACCAGGAUGGGAAGGAAGUGCACACGAUACUCAGAUCUUCUUAGAUGCAAUUAGGAAUCCUAGUUUUAAUUUUCCAAAACCACAAGGAAGUAACUGUUUUAUAUUUGAUUGCUACAAUAGAUGCACCACACUCACAUCUUCAUAUUUAUUUUUAUAUUUAUAAUUGGUUACUUAAAUUUCAUUUUGGAAUUUUAAAAUAGAUGAGUUUUACUUGGUGGAUGCUGGUUAUCCAAACAUGAAAGGAUAUCUUACACCUUACAAAUGAGAGAGAUACCAUCUAGCUCAAUUUGAACAUGGUCAACCCCCCCAAAAUGCACAAGAAAAAUUCAACCAAGCACAUUCAUCACUUAGAAGUGUAAUAGAAAGAACGUUCGGGGUUUGGAAAGCAAGAUGGCCGAUGAUAAAGGAUAUCCCACCUAGCUACAAGUGGCCGACCCAAGUCAAACUUGUUUGUGCAACAAUGGCAAUUCAUAAUUUCAUCCGACGAAGUAAGCUCUGCGAUAUUGCAUUUGACUCUUAUGAUAGAUUCACGGAUUAUGUGCCUAAUGAAGAGGAAGGAUCUUCGUCUCAACAAGCGCGCCAUGGAAAUGAUGUUGCAUGUGAUGUCAACGAGAUGGAAGUGAGGAGACAUAAUAUUUGUAUGUCAAUUUGCAGACGAAAUUAGAAGCUCUAUAAAUAUCUAUGAAGUUUUAUUUUUCUUGCCUUAAUAGUAAUUUAUUGU